ACCAAUUGUUAAUCGACCGUCGUCACGAGCAGUAAUCGUUGGGUUUAGUGGAAAAGUUUUAAACAUCUGAAAGUGUAAAAGUGUGCAAAAAAAAGCCUUACUAAACGAAAACGCUUGUUGCUUUUUCUAACGCCAUAAAUAUUAAACAGUGAAAAUGAGUUCUAAAUCGUAUUUUGAGGAUUCGCGCGACGAAAGCCAAGGUGGAAAACUGUCCAGAAAAAUAAAGGAUUCGCCAUUCAUGAUUAUUGGUUUGGCUGGCUUCGUAGCGGCUGGCAUUAUUGGUGCUUAUAAAUAUAAGAACCGUGGCACAAUGAGCACCAGUGUUUUCUUAAUGCAACUUCGUGUUGCGGCGCAGGGAACCGUUGUCGGGGCGCUGACGUUGGGUCUCGGCUAUAGCAUGGCCAAUGAAUAUAUAUUUAACAAAACACCCAAAGAAAAGUAAUGAAUGCCAAUUGAUGAUUAUCUUAUUUAAGAAAUAGAGUUAAGAAAUUAAUGUAAUCAUGCACAUGCACACAUAAAUACAUACAUGUGCAAAUUAUAUGUAUUACAAAACAGUCUCAAUAAAAAUAAGCCACCUCUGUUUACAUAUAUGUACAAAUAUUCACAAUAACAAGCGAAAUGUGUGCAUCAAGGAUUUGCUGCAAAAUCUUACCAAACUGAAAUCCUCUUCAAUAGCUGAGACUCUCAUACUAUAACAAUUACAUAACAUAUAUACUAAAUAUUUUCAUACAUAAUUUUUAGCUAAAUGAUACGUACGAUAUAUGAUAAUUUCUACAUGUUAAGAAAAAAACAAAUGAUGGAUAUGAUAAAAUCACUUUACUUAGGAAUAAUGACGGCAUUAUAUUGCCUGUGAUAUGCAAACUAAUGAAUACAAAAGUUUACUGAACAGAGAUGCUAAAUAGCUAAUAUUGUAGUUUUGUAAUGUUGGAAUGAACUAUUUAUAAAAAAAAAUACAAGAAACAAACAUUUUUCGUUAAACGAUAUUAUAAAUAAACAAACGCUUACUUUUA
RNA transcript from Bactrocera tryoni, 1010 nucleotides. It is a transcript of the gene named HIG1 domain family member 1A, mitochondrial, with no coding region annotated. The record is from RefSeq and is a predicted model, not a curated record. NCBI's taxonomy places the organism in Eukaryota, Metazoa, Arthropoda, Insecta, Diptera, Tephritidae. The transcript is spliced from 3 exons.